RNAcentral lists this ribosomal RNA (498 nucleotides) under uncultured bacterium. Its description in RNAcentral is "bacterial SSU rRNA". It matches the Rfam family "Bacterial small subunit ribosomal RNA", at positions 28 to 513 of the family's 1533-position model. The record is from RNAcentral.
GAUGAACGCUAGCGGCAGGCCUAAUACAUGCAAGCCGUACGGCAACACAGUUGCGAGCAAUCGCAACCGGUGGCGAGUGGCGCACGGGUGAGUAACGCGUAUGUAACCUACCCUUCUCCGGGACAUAACUCCGCGAAAGCGGUGCUAAUAUCCCAUACCAACUCAUCAAGACAUCUUCUUGAGUUGAAAGCAGCAAUGCGGUGAAGGAUGGGCAUGCGUCCCAUUAGCUGGUUGGUGAGGUAAUGGCCCACCAAGGCUACGAUGGGUAGGGGUUCUGAGAGGAAAGCCCCCCACACUGGUACUGAGACACGGACCAGACUCCUACGGGAGGCAGCAGUAAGGAAUAUUGGGCAAUGGUCGAAAGACUGACCCAGCCAUGCCGCGUGCAGGAUGAAGGCCCUAUGGGUUGUAAACUGCUUUUAGCCGGGAAUAAACACCCGUUUUAUAACGGGCCCGAAGGUACCGGCUGAAUAAGCAUCGGCUAACUCCGUGCCAGCA